Long non-coding RNA from Formica exsecta, 123 nucleotides. RefSeq lists it as uncharacterized. The record is from RefSeq and is a predicted model, not a curated record. NCBI's taxonomy places the organism in Eukaryota, Metazoa, Arthropoda, Insecta, Hymenoptera, Formicidae. The transcript is spliced from 2 exons.
CAAUCUGCGAAAAAAUUUCAAAUUUACCAUCUAUUAAACCAUUGAAAGUUAUAAAUCAAAAAGAACAUGAUAUUGAGACAGAAGAAAUCGAAUUUCCAUCUCGCAAAACUGAAGAAAAAAAAA